RNAcentral lists this ribosomal RNA (520 nucleotides) under uncultured Glomus. RNAcentral's name for it is "SSU rRNA". It matches the Rfam family "Eukaryotic small subunit ribosomal RNA", at positions 569 to 1090 of the family's 1831-position model. Lineage: Eukaryota; Fungi; Glomeromycota; Glomeromycetes; Glomerales; Glomeraceae. The record is from RNAcentral.
AGCAGCCGCGGUAAUUCCAGCUCCAAUAGCGUAUAUUAAAGUUGUUGCAGUUAAAAGCUCGUAGUUGAAUUUCGGGGUCAGUAAGUUGGUCGUGCCACUGGUAUGUACUGGCCUUACUGAUUCCUCCUUCUUGUAGAACCGUAAUGCCAUUAAGUUGGUGUUGCGGGAAAACAGGACUGUUACUUUGAAAAAAAUUAGAGUGUUUAAAGCAAGCUAACGCUUGAAUACAUUAGCAUGGAAUAAUGAAAUAGGACGAACGAUCCUAUUUUGUUGGUUUCUAGGAUUGACGUAAUGAUUAAUAGGGAUAGUUGGGGGCAUUAGUAUUCAAUUGUCAGAGGUGAAAUUCUUGGAUUUAUUGAAGACUAACUACUGCGAAAGCAUUUGCCAAGGAUGUUUUCAUUAAUCAAGAACGAAAGUUAGGGGAUCGAAGACGAUCAGAUACCGUCGUAGUCUUAACCAUAAACUAUGCCGACUAGGGAUCGGACGAUGUUAAUUUUUUAAUGACUCAUUCGGCGCCUUA